Molecule: ribosomal RNA, 253 nt
Filed under: uncultured bacterium
Lineage: Bacteria
Description: partial 16S ribosomal RNA
Rfam family: Bacterial small subunit ribosomal RNA
Source: RNAcentral
UACGUAGGGUGCAAGCGUUAAUCGGAAUCACUGGGCAUAAAGGGUGCGUAGGCGGGCGUUAAAGUCAAGGGUGAAAUCCCCCAGCUCAACUGGGGAACUGCCUUUGAUACUGGUGAGCUUGAGUCCGGAAGAGGUGAGUGGAACUGCGAGUGUAGAGGUGAAAUUCGUAGAUAUUCGCAAGAACACCAGUGGCGAAGGCGGCUCACUGGUCCGGUACUGACGCUGAGGUGCGAAAGCGUGGGGAGCAAACAGG